AAAGGAAUAGACGGGGGCCCGCACAAGCAGUGGAGUAUGUGGUUUAAUUCGACGCAACGCGAAGAACCUUACCAGGGCUUGACAUGUAUAGGAAUACUUAAGAGAUUAAGUAGCUCUUUUAGAGCUUAUACACAAGUGGUGCAUGGUUGUCGUCAGCUCGUGUCGUGAGAUGUUGGGUUAAGUCCCGCAACGAGCGCAACCCCUAUGUUUAUUUACUACCAUUAAGUUGAGAACAUUAAACAGACUGCCAAUGAAAAAUUGGAGGAAGGUGGGGACGACGUCAAAUCAUCAUGCUCUUUAUGUCCUGGGCUACACACGUACUACAAUGGGGAGACCAGAGGGAAGCGAAGUAGUGAUACGGAGCCAAACCCGAAAGCUCUUCUAAGUUCGAAUUGCAGAUUGAAACUCAUCUGCAUGAAGCCGGAAUUGCUAGUAAUGGCAGGUCAUCAUACUGCCGUGAAUACGUUCCCGGGCCUUGUACACACCGCCCGU
Molecule: ribosomal RNA, 492 nt
Filed under: uncultured bacterium
Lineage: Bacteria
Description: bacterial SSU rRNA
Rfam family: Bacterial small subunit ribosomal RNA
Source: RNAcentral